Toxocara canis (dog roundworm) is the source of this 46-nucleotide non-coding RNA. The record is from Rfam. Lineage: Eukaryota; Metazoa; Nematoda; Chromadorea; Rhabditida; Toxocaridae.
AAAACGGCGCUAUUAAGCUCCACAAAAAUGCACUUUAAAAGACUGU